AGAACAACACCAAAAAUGCAACAGGAGCGUAAUAUGUAAGAAACUGCCUACGCAACCUACUGAUGGAAAAUGCAACAGACUCAAAGAACUAUGAUGACUGAAGCACGACACACCAGUGGCGAGGUAUCACCUCCUCCACCCUUCUGCUCUUUCAAUGCACAACAUGAGGAAUGGAUGAAGUACUGCCAGCAACCCGAGAAGCAAUUUGAAACCUAAAACAUACCAGCUCUGCAGAAGAUUCAAGAGUUUGACAACAAGACCACAACCCACAAUAUCAAGAUCUGUUAGCAGCCAUCACCAAGGCAGAUUUUUUUGGUCUGCUUGGUUAUACUUUCUGAACUGUUUGCACUAGGUGAGGCCAUCUAUCAUCAACUUCAGUGCAAAGAUAUAGAUUUUGCACAAUCAACAUUGCCAGCAAUCUCAAAAGCAAACUGCUGGCAAUCAGAAAAAAUGUUAUUGAUACUUUCACCCAGCUUUUCUUAGAAGCCAAGGAAUUAGCUUCAGCCAAUGGAGCUGAAAUCAAGCAAUAAUGCACAUUUAACAAGCAAGCACUUUGUGCAAAUCAGGAUACUGGUGAUGAUGCUGAGUGUUACUACAAAGUGUCUGUGUUCAUACCCUCUCUGCAUGCCUUCAUUAGUUCACUAUAGUAUCAGUUCAUGACACAUUUGUGAACUUUUUAAUAGCUUUAACUGUCUUCUACCAUGAAACACUGAAGACACAGGUAUCACUGAUGGAGUUACAAAACUCCAUUUAUUUUAUGCUUCAAAUGCAUUAGUCACCGAUUUAACAAUGACAAUGGCCGAGUUGAAACUCUUUCAUCAACAUCUGAGUCAACCAGAGCAGCUGCCUCAAUAUGCAAUGGAAGUUUUGUCUUCUGGGACAGCCAAAUCUAUCCUAAAGUGUUUCAGUUUCUACAGCUCUUAGCAAUGCUAACAGUGACAAUGGCCGCAAAUGAGCAUAGUUUCACCACCUUUAAGAGUAUCAAGACAUACUUAAGGAAGACAACUGGUGAGGCAUGUCUGAAUUGACUCACCAUAAUGACAAUUCAUCAAGAAGAA
Molecule: long non-coding RNA, 1058 nt
Organism: Schistocerca piceifrons (Central American locust)
Lineage: Eukaryota; Metazoa; Arthropoda; Insecta; Orthoptera; Acrididae
Exons: 3
Source: RefSeq, a predicted model, not a curated record